ACAGUGGUGGUUCAGUGGUAGAAUUCUCACCUUCCAUGCAGGAGAUCCAGUUUCGAUUCCUGGCCAAUGCA
This 71-nucleotide transfer RNA is filed under the name Loxodonta africana (African savanna elephant). It matches the Rfam family "tRNA". From Rfam's summary of the family: Transfer RNA (tRNA) molecules are approximately 80 nucleotides in length. The record is from Rfam by way of RNAcentral. Lineage: Eukaryota; Metazoa; Chordata; Mammalia; Proboscidea; Elephantidae.